UACGGAGGGUGCAAGCGUUAUCCGGAUUCACUGGGUUUAAAGGGUGCGUAGGUGGGCUAGUAAGUCCGUGGUGAAAUCUCCGAGCUUAACUCGGAAACUGCCGUGGAUACUAUUAGUCUUGAAUAUCGUGGAGGUAAGCGGAAUAUGUCAUGUAGCGGUGAAAUGCUUAGAUAUGACAUAGAACACCGAUAGCGGAGGCAGCUUACUACGCGAUUAUUGACACUGAGGCACGAAAGCGUGGGGAUCAAACAGG
This 253-nucleotide ribosomal RNA is filed under the name uncultured bacterium. RNAcentral describes it as "partial 16S ribosomal RNA". It matches the Rfam family "Bacterial small subunit ribosomal RNA", at positions 524 to 776 of the family's 1533-position model. The record is from RNAcentral.